UCCUCGGUCGCGAUUCACCCAGUCCGAGA
RNAcentral lists this small RNA (29 nucleotides) under Bombyx mori (domestic silkworm). RNAcentral describes it as "ovarian small RNA-3383". The record is from RNAcentral. Lineage: Eukaryota; Metazoa; Arthropoda; Insecta; Lepidoptera; Bombycidae.